AUUGAACGCUGGCGGCAUGCCUUACACAUGCAAGUCGAACGGCAGCACGGGAGCAAUCCUGGUGGCGAGUGGCGAACGGGUGAGUAAUAUAUCGGAACGUGCCCAGUCGUGGGGGAUAACGUAGCGAAAGCUACGCUAAUACCGCAUACGAUCUAUGGAUGAAAGCGGGGGAUCGCAAGACCUCGCGCGAUUGGAGCGGCCGAUAUCAGAUAGGUAGUUGGUGAGGUAAAGGCUCACCAAGCCGACGAUCUGUAGCUGGUCUGAGAGGACGACCAGCCACACUGGGACUGAGACA
RNAcentral lists this ribosomal RNA (295 nucleotides) under uncultured bacterium. RNAcentral describes it as "partial 16S ribosomal RNA". It matches the Rfam family "Bacterial small subunit ribosomal RNA", at positions 30 to 326 of the family's 1533-position model. The record is from RNAcentral.